RNAcentral lists this ribosomal RNA (500 nucleotides) under uncultured bacterium. RNAcentral describes it as "partial 16S ribosomal RNA". It matches the Rfam family "Bacterial small subunit ribosomal RNA", at positions 30 to 523 of the family's 1533-position model. The record is from RNAcentral.
AUUGAACGCUGGCGGCAUGCCUUACACAUGCAAGUCGAACGGCAGCGCGGGCUUCGGCCUGGCGGCGAGUGGCGAACGGGUGAGUAAUAUAUCGGAACGUGCCCUAGAGUGGGGGAUAACGUAGCGAAAGUUACGCUAAUACCGCAUACGAUCUAUGGAUGAAAGUGGGGGACCGUAAGGCCUCACGCUCCUGGAGCGGCCGAUAUCUGAUUAGCUAGUUGGUAGGGUAAAAGCCUACCAAGGCGACGAUCAGUAGCUGGUCUGAGAGGACGACCGGCCACACUGGGACUGAGACACGGCCCAGACUCCUACGGGAGGCAGCAGUGGGGAAUUUUGGACAAUGGGGGCAACCCUGAUCCAGCAAUGCAGCGUGUGUGAAGAAGGCCUUCGGGUUGUAAAGCACUUUUGUCAGGAACGAAACGGUGGGGGCUAAUAUCCUCUGCUAAUGACGGUACCUGAAGAAUAAGCACCGGCUAACUACGUGCCAGCCGCCGCGGUAA